UGCCACAGGGCUACCAAGGGAUUGUUCUGAAAAGGAAAUCCAUGUGUGGUAGCCCCUCAGCUUCACAUCCUUUGGAGCGUGCUGUUGUUCUCAGGGUACAGUCUAACUUUAGAAAGCCUCGUAAGCUGUGCAUCACAUCUUGUAAGGAGUUGUGAGGCAUGAAUGACAGAAAGGAAUGACAGUAACAAUAGCAAUUGCUCUCAAUUGAGCUUGCUGGAUGAUGACAGCUGUGCCAGGCCCUUCCCACGCAGCCUCUCUGAUCCUACAAGGCGGACGUCAUACAUCCCCUUUUUGCAGAACAGGAAACGGACUCAGGGAAGGAAGGACCCAGACGGGAACCCAGGAGAUCACUCAGAUGAUUUCUGCUGAAGGCGAUCAAUGUCAUGACUUCUGUUAUGGGCAAUGGCAGUGCAAGUGUUUCUGCCUUUCUGACAAACUCUGACGGAUGCAGUACCCCAGAAUGUUCAGAGACAUGUCUUAGUGUCGCCGUUGCCAACAGCACAGCAAACCUAGGCAUCAGUAUCUCCAUUUUGCAAGAAAGCUGACCCUAGAAAGAC
Aethalodelphis obliquidens (Pacific white-sided dolphin) is the source of this 557-nucleotide long non-coding RNA. RefSeq lists it as uncharacterized. Lineage: Eukaryota; Metazoa; Chordata; Mammalia; Artiodactyla; Delphinidae. The transcript is spliced from 4 exons. The record is from RefSeq and is a predicted model, not a curated record.